AUUGAACGCUGGCGGCAUGCUUUACACAUGCAAGUCGAACGGCAGCGCGGGCUUCGGCCUGGCGGCGAGUGGCGAACGGGUGAGUAAUACAUCGGAACGUGCUCAGUAGUGGGGGAUAGCUCGGCGAAAGCCGGAUUAAUACCGCAUACGACCUGAGGGUGAAAGCGGGGGAUCUUCGGACCUCGCGCUCUUGGAGCGGCCGAUGGCAGAUUAGCUAGUUGGUGGGGUAAAGGCCUACCAAGGCGACGAUCUGUAGCUGGUCUGAGAGGACGACCAGCCGCACUGGGACUGGGACACGGCCCAGACUCCUACGGGAGGCAGCAGUGGGGAAUUUUGGACAAUGGGCGAAAGCCUGAUCCAGCAAUGCCGCGUGUGUGAUGAAGGCCUUCGGGUUGUAAAGCACUUUUGGCGGGAACGAAAAGGACUGUGCCAAUACCACGGUUCGAUGACGGUACCCGCAGAAUAAGCACCGGCUAACUACGUG
This 484-nucleotide ribosomal RNA is filed under the name uncultured bacterium. RNAcentral's name for it is "partial 16S ribosomal RNA". It matches the Rfam family "Bacterial small subunit ribosomal RNA", at positions 29 to 507 of the family's 1533-position model. The record is from RNAcentral.